This 241-nucleotide long non-coding RNA is filed under the name Elaeis guineensis (African oil palm). RNAcentral's name for it is "long non-coding RNA (EGUI_LNC025987)". The record is from RNAcentral. Lineage: Eukaryota; Viridiplantae; Streptophyta; Magnoliopsida; Arecales; Arecaceae.
GGGUCACACACAUUAGAGGUUCCUAUCUGAUCUGAUGGCUGAUGAAGAGUCCUAAUAUUCAUGGACUAUGAGUCCUACAUGUCUGAAACUCUAUGAUUGAGAAUCAAGAUUCUCUGAUCACAAGUCCCACACAUUUUGGAUACCGGGGUCAAGAGUCCCACUGAUUUGGGACUCUUCGAUCAAGGUUUUAUAUUGAUGAACUUUGAUACCCGAUUGCCCAUCGAAUUUGGACUCAAUAUUU